RNAcentral lists this ribosomal RNA (122 nucleotides) under Kwoniella dejecticola. Lineage: Eukaryota; Fungi; Basidiomycota; Tremellomycetes; Tremellales; Cryptococcaceae. The record is from RNAcentral.
AUCUACGGCCAUAGAAUCCAGAAAGCACCGGGUCCCGUCAGCUCCCCGUAGUUAAGUUGGAUAUCGCUCGGUUAGUACCAAGGUGGGGGACCACUUGGGAAUCCCGAGUGCUGUAGUUUUGU